This 427-nucleotide ribosomal RNA is filed under the name uncultured Rhodocyclaceae bacterium. Its description in RNAcentral is "partial 16S ribosomal RNA". It matches the Rfam family "Bacterial small subunit ribosomal RNA", at positions 355 to 774 of the family's 1533-position model. Lineage: Bacteria; Pseudomonadati; Pseudomonadota; Betaproteobacteria; Rhodocyclales; Rhodocyclaceae. The record is from RNAcentral.
UGGGGAAUUUUGGACAAUGGGGGCAACCCUGAUCCAGCCAUGCCGCGUGAGUGAAGAAGGCCUUCGGGUUGUAAAGCUCUUUCGGCCGGGAAGAAAUCGCACAGGCUAAUACUCUGUGUGGAUGACGGUACCGGAAUAAGAAGCACCGGCUAACUACGUGCCAGCAGCCGCGGUAAUACGUAGGGUGCGAGCGUUAAUCGGAAUUACUGGGCGUAAAGCGUGCGCAGGCGGUUUGAUAAGACAGGCGUGAAAUCCCCGGGCUUAACCUGGGAACUGCGCUUGUGACUGUCUCACUAGAGUACGGCAGAGGGGGGUGGAAUUCCACGUGUAGCAGUGAAAUGCGUAGAGAUGUGGAGGAACACCGAUGGCGAAGGCAGCCCCCUGGGUCGAUACUGACGCUCAUGCACGAAAGCGUGGGGAGCAAACA